AAGACUAUACUUUCAGGGACCAUUUCUAUAGUUUGUUACUAGAGAAGUCUCUCUGAAUGUGUAGCACACCAAAAACCACGAGGAGGAGGUGGUGUAGCGUUUUCUCCUGAGUGUGAAGUUGGCUCUUGGUGGUGUACUGCUCCUACACUUCAUCAGCUAAGCUUAUAUGCUACAGUUCGAGCUUUUCAUAGCAGAUGUAAUUACAGAAAAUAUUUACCCACAAAUGAUUGCCUUCGUGUUCUUGACUUAGAUUAGGUUAGUUUAUGUCUCAUACUGAUGGGU
RNAcentral lists this small nucleolar RNA (282 nucleotides) under Otolemur garnettii (small-eared galago). RNAcentral describes it as "Small nucleolar RNA U3". It matches the Rfam family "Small nucleolar RNA U3". From Rfam's summary of the family: Small nucleolar RNAs (snoRNAs) are involved in the processing and modification of rRNA in the nucleolus. There are two main classes of snoRNAs: the box C/D class, and the box H/ACA class. The record is from Rfam by way of RNAcentral. Lineage: Eukaryota; Metazoa; Chordata; Mammalia; Primates; Galagidae.